GUUGACAGACCUAGUAUCUUUCAAAGAUUCCCAUCCCUCCGCGAUCAAAAAAAAGACAAACAAAUAGGCCAAAUGCCUCGUCAUCUACUUAGUGACGCGCAUGAAUGGAUUAACGAGAUUCCUACUGUCCCUAUCUACUAUCUAGCGAAACCACAGCCAAGGGAACGGGCUUGGGAAUAAUUAGCGGGGAAAAGAAGACCCUUUUGAGCUUGACUCUAAUCUGGCAGUGUAAGGAGACAUAAGAGGUGUAGAAUAAGUGGGAGAUAUUAGACCUCGGUUUGGUAUCGUCAAUGAAAUACCACUACUCUUAUUGUUUCCUUACUUACUUGAUUAAAUGGAACGUGUAUCAUUUCCUAGCCAUUAUACGGAUAUAUUUAUUAUAUCUUAUGGUAUUGGGUUUUGAUGCAAGCUUCUUGAUCAAAGUAUCACGAGUUUGUUAUAUAAUCGCAAACAAAUUCUUUAAUAAAACGAUGCAUUUAUGUAUUUUUGAUUUGAAAAUUUGGUAUAACUCCAAUUACUCAGGUAUGAUCCAAUUCAAGGACAUUGCCAGGUAGGGAGUUUGACUGGGGCGGUACAUCUCUCAAAUAAUAACGGAGGUGUCCCAAGGCCAGCUCAGUGCGGACAGAAACCACACAUAGAGCAAAAGGGCAAAUGCUGACUUGAUCUCGGUGUUCAGUACACACAGGGACAGCAAAAGCUCGGCCUAUCGAUCCUUUUGGUUUAAAGAGUUUUUAACAAGAGGUGUCAGAAAAGUUACCAUAGGGAUAACUGGCUUGUGGCGGCCAAGCGUUCAUAGCGACGUCGCUUUUUGAUCCUUCGAUGUCGGCUCUUCCUAUCAUUGUGAAGCAAAAUUCACCAAGCGUUGGAUUGUUCACCCAUGCAAGGGAACGUGAGCUGGGUUUAGACCGUCGUGAGACAGGUUAGUUUUACCCUACUAAUGACAAAACGUUGUUGCGACAGCAUUCCUGCGUAGUACGAGAGGAACCGCAGGUACGGACCAAUGGCACAAUACUUGUUCGAGCGAACAGUGGUAUGACGCUACGUCCGUUGGAUUAUGCCUGAACGCCUCUAAGGUCGUAUCCGUGCUGGACUGCAAUGAUAAAUAAGGGGCAAUUUGCAUUGUAUGGCUUCUAAACCAUUUAAAGUUUAUAAUUUAUUUUAUAAACGACAAUGGAUGUGAUGCCAAUGUAAUUUGUAACAUAGUAAAUUAGGAGGAUCUUCGAUCACCUGAUGCCGCGCUAGUUACAUAUAAAAGCAUUAUUUAAUACAAUGACAAAGCCUAGAAUCAAUUGUAAACGACUUUUGUAACAGGCAAGGUGUUGUAAGUGGUUGAGCAGCUGCCAUACUGCGAUCCACUGAAGCUUAUCCUUUGCUUGAUGAUUCGA
RNAcentral lists this non-coding RNA (1385 nucleotides) under Drosophila sechellia. RNAcentral's name for it is "Eukaryotic large subunit ribosomal RNA". It matches the Rfam family "Eukaryotic large subunit ribosomal RNA", at positions 2273 to 3401 of the family's 3401-position model. The record is from Rfam by way of RNAcentral. Lineage: Eukaryota; Metazoa; Arthropoda; Insecta; Diptera; Drosophilidae.